This 88-nucleotide transfer RNA is filed under the name bacterium. Its description in RNAcentral is "tRNA-Ser". It matches the Rfam family "tRNA". From Rfam's summary of the family: Transfer RNA (tRNA) molecules are approximately 80 nucleotides in length. Their secondary structure includes four short double-helical elements and three loops (D, anti-codon, and T loops). The record is from RNAcentral. RNAcentral also lists the same sequence under 5 other names.
GGAGAGGUGGCCGAGUGGCUGAAGGCGCACGCCUGCUAAGCGUGUGUGGGGAAACUCACCGAGGGUUCGAAUCCCUCCCUCUCCGCCA